Long non-coding RNA from Triticum dicoccoides, 1372 nucleotides. RefSeq lists it as uncharacterized. NCBI's taxonomy places the organism in Eukaryota, Viridiplantae, Streptophyta, Magnoliopsida, Poales, Poaceae. The transcript has 5 exons. The record is from RefSeq and is a predicted model, not a curated record.
CCCAUUAGGUUGCUUUUUGAUUAAUUAGUUCAGUUACAUGGACCUGUUAAGAUACUUUAGUUUGAUCGAGUCCAGAUAAUUUAGUUUGACCUCAUUUGUUGGCUUGAGGUUAAAAUGAUGGUUGUUCUUGGGGAGCUUGGAGGAAGUGAUGAGUAUUUGCUCCUCGAAUCUUUGAAACAAGGAAAGGUUCAGAAACCUGUUGUUGCUUGGGUUAGUAGGACGUGUGCACGUCUGUUGAAAUCCGAGUCCAGUUUGGCCAUGCUUGUGCGAUGGUGGUGAGGUGGAAUCUGCACAAGCUAAGAAUCAGGCACUAAGGGAUGCUGGGGCUGUUGUUCCUACUUCAUUGGAAACUCUUGAAAGGAUUAAGGAGACAUUUCAGAAGUUGGUACAUCACGGCUGAUGUCUUUUGCAAGUUUUUUUUUGGGAAUGUGUUAGUGGGAAUCAAAGCUUGGGGUUACAUAUAUUUUUUGCAGGUUGAGGAAGGAACAAUUCCUCCUGUCCCUGAGGUUACACCUCCCCCCAUUCCUGAGGAUCUUAAAAUUGCCAUUAAAAGUGGGAAGGAGAGGGACACACUCUGGGAAAAGGUUGCUUGGGCAGGCUUGCAUCUCCGUAUAUUUUUCCAUAUAAAUUGUAAAAGUGGGCAACUCGAUGCUUGUUCCUUUGCCAUUGACCGUGUCGGGAAGUUGAGCUCAGAAACUGCCGUGACAGCACUGGAUGCUUGAACCCACCGGUAGCAUCAUGGAGCUACCAAUGUUAGGAAGGGUACCACAAGAGAUGAUUCUGAGAAGGGGUAAGGGGAAGGUCCUGAAAAGGAACAAGCUGGAGAAGAUAGAUCUUAUCACCAAAUAUACGUGGAGGAAGAUGAAGAAGCAAGACCCUAAGAUGGACGACUCUUAGAACAUAACUGACAAAUAAGCAGAGAAUUGUAGGUGCUAUGGAAUCGAUGGGUGGUCAGAAUUCUUAUCAGUAAUAGUUCAUGCUUGAUGUAUGUAGCUCUCCCCUGGCCUACUACAUUCAGGACACCUGCCCUGCAGUCGGUAUCGAGAAAUUAUGUCCAUUGCUUUUUCUACUACAUUGAGGGCUACAUGUGUUUCGAAGAGAGGUUUACAGUUGAGAUUUCUUUUGCUUUGUAGCUUCACAUGUUCAUACUUCCACCAGAUAGUCUGAACAAAUAUCACUGCAAGAGCCCCAUGCUGUAAAUUGAGUUAACUUUUAGCUUUGCGGGUAGUCAACCAAAUUUUGGUGCUUGGUUGAUAGCCCCUACCCAUUUAUCAAUGACAAUUGCCAUCACCUUUGUAAGCAAUAUUUCUGGUUCUGAUAAAGAACCAAGUUAUACUUAUUUGUUUUAUGUAUAAACAUCAAAUCUUUCAAA